CGCUGGCGGCGUGCCUAAUACAUGCAAGUCGAACGCACUCUCGUUUAGAUUGAAGGAGCUUGCUCCUGAUUGAUAAACAUUUGAGUGAGUGGCGGACGGGUGAGUAACACGUGGGUAACCUGCCCUAAAGUGGGGGAUAACAUUUGGAAACAGAUGCUAAUACCGCAUAAAACCUAACACCGCAUGGUGUAGGGUUGAAAGAUGGUUUCGGCUAUCACUUUAGGAUGGACCCGCGGUGCAUUAGUUAGUUGGUGAGGUAAAGGCUCACCAAGACCGUGAUGCAUAGCCGACCUGAGAGGGUAAUCGGGCCACACUGGGACUGAGACACGGCCCAGACUCCUACGGGAGGCAGCAGUAGGGAAUCUUCCACAAUGGACGAAAGUCUGAUGGAGCAACGCCGCGUGAGUGAAGAAGGUUUUCGGAUCGUAAAACUCUGUUGUUGGAGAAGAAUGUAUCUGAUAGUAACUGAUCAGGUAGUGACGGUAUCCAACCAGAAAGCCACGGCUAACUACGUG
Molecule: ribosomal RNA, 515 nt
Filed under: uncultured bacterium
Lineage: Bacteria
Description: bacterial SSU rRNA
Rfam family: Bacterial small subunit ribosomal RNA
Source: RNAcentral